This 253-nucleotide ribosomal RNA is filed under the name uncultured bacterium. Its description in RNAcentral is "partial 16S ribosomal RNA". It matches the Rfam family "Bacterial small subunit ribosomal RNA", at positions 524 to 776 of the family's 1533-position model. The record is from RNAcentral.
UACGAGGGGUGCAAGCGUUGCUCGGAAUUAUUGGGCGUAAAGGGUAGGUAGGUGGUCUUAUUUGUCUGGGGUGAAAUCCUUGAGCUUAACUCAAGAAGUGCCUUAGAAACGGUAAGACUAGAGUUCUAGAGGGGUUUGUGGAAUUCCCGGUGUAGCGGUGAAAUGCGUAGAUAUGACAUAGAACACCAAUUGCGAAGGCAGCUGGCUACACAAAUAUUGACACUGAGGCACGAAAGCGUGGGGAUCAAACAGG